GUGUAGUUUGAACAUGAGUUUGAGGAUGAACUCGUACAGAUGUGAGGAGUCCAGGAUGAGCGGCAUGAGGGGGGCUAUCCUGCACUGACCCGUGGAGGUCAUGGAGUUAGACCGGGUCGGGUCAAGGGUCGCAAACACUGUGGGAAGAAAAAAA
This is a long non-coding RNA of Branchiostoma belcheri (Belcher's lancelet), 154 nucleotides long. RefSeq lists it as uncharacterized. NCBI's taxonomy places the organism in Eukaryota, Metazoa, Chordata, Leptocardii, Amphioxiformes, Branchiostomatidae. The record is from RefSeq and is a predicted model, not a curated record. The transcript has 3 exons.